This 88-nucleotide transfer RNA is filed under the name Candidatus Omnitrophota bacterium. RNAcentral's name for it is "Candidatus Omnitrophica bacterium tRNA-Ser". It matches the Rfam family "tRNA". From Rfam's summary of the family: Transfer RNA (tRNA) molecules are approximately 80 nucleotides in length. Their secondary structure includes four short double-helical elements and three loops (D, anti-codon, and T loops). The record is from RNAcentral. Lineage: Bacteria; Pseudomonadati; Candidatus Omnitrophota.
GGAGGAAUGGCUGAGCGGUCGAAAGCGGCGGUCUUGAAAACCGUUGUACUGCAAGGUACCGUGGGUUCGAAUCCUACUUCCUCCGCCA